GGGGUCUUGGUACUGGUGGGUGACAUGGGUCCGGGCUACCUGUUGCUGCGGAGUCCUAACAGAACCGCUACAGGAAUGGGCCCACCCUACCUAAGAAAAACUGAGGGCUGGAGCACGGGUGUGAUCUACCAUGCGUUGUCUCAGAAAGAGGCGAAUGACUCCGAUGUCCAGCUGUGGGUAGCAGAUGCAUGGCAGAUGAGCAGGUUGAGAGCCUCACCUUCAGGAGCACAGCGGGCCGAGGCCUUCGUGAGGGCCUUCCUGAAGCGCAGCACGCCCCGCAUGAGCCCGCAGGCCCGCGAGGACCAGCUGCAGCGCAAGGCGGUGGUCCUGGAGUACUUCACCCGCCACAAGCGCAAGGAGAAGAAGAAGAAAGCCAAAGGCCUCUCUGCCAGGCAAAGGAGGGAGCUGCGGCUCUUUGACAUUAAACCAGAGCAGCAGAGAUACAGCCUUUUCCUCCCUCUCCAUGAACUCUGGAAACAGUACAUCAGGGACCUGUGCAAUGGGCUCAAGCCAGACACGCAGCCACAGAUGAUUCAGGCCAAGCUCUUAAAGGCAGAUCUUCACGGGGCUAUUAUUUCAGCACUCGUUGCUGUCAGAAAGUAGAAUGGUGUGGUUCA
RNAcentral lists this small RNA (617 nucleotides) under Pan troglodytes (chimpanzee). Its description in RNAcentral is "processed transcript". Lineage: Eukaryota; Metazoa; Chordata; Mammalia; Primates; Hominidae. The record is from RNAcentral.